RNAcentral lists this ribosomal RNA (515 nucleotides) under Oreina elongata zangherii. Its description in RNAcentral is "partial 16S ribosomal RNA". It matches the Rfam family "Bacterial large subunit ribosomal RNA", at positions 1825 to 2606 of the family's 2925-position model. The record is from RNAcentral. Lineage: Eukaryota; Metazoa; Arthropoda; Insecta; Coleoptera; Chrysomelidae.
GUCCUUUUGUUGAUAAUUUAAGGUCUAGCCUGCCCACUGAAAUUUUAAAUGGCCGUGGUAUUUUGACCGUGCUAAGGUAGCAUAAUCAUUAGUUUUUUAAUUAAAAACUGGAAUGAAAGGCUGGAUAAGAAAAUAGCUGUCUCUGUUAAAUUUAAUUAGAAUUUUAUUUUUAAGUUAAAAAGCUUAAUUAUUAUUAAAAGACGAGAAGACCCUAUAGAGUUUAAUUAUUAAAUAAAAAUUAUAUUUUAGUAUUUAUUUAUUUAUUUUAUUAAAUAAUUUAAUUGGGGUGAUUGAAAAAUUUAAUUAACUUUUUUUAUUUAGAAACAUUAAUUUAUGAAUGAAUGAUCCAAUAUUUUUGAUUAUAAGAUAAAAUUACCUUAGGGAUAACAGCGUAAUUUUUUUAGAAAGUUCAUAUUAAAAAAAAAGAUUGCGACCUCGAUGUUGGAUUAAAAUAAAUUUUUGGUGUAGAAGCUAAAAUAUUAGGUCUGUUCGACCUUUAAAAUUUUACAUGAUCU